This 324-nucleotide ribosomal RNA is filed under the name Triticum aestivum (bread wheat). RNAcentral describes it as "partial small subunit ribosomal RNA". Lineage: Eukaryota; Viridiplantae; Streptophyta; Magnoliopsida; Poales; Poaceae. The record is from RNAcentral.
AUGAUCGUGUGCGUCAUUCGCUCGUUGUAUUUUCUCCAUGACCUCUCCAGUUGGAUUCACAAUUUCUCUGUUGAUUUCUUUAGGUCAAUGAGGAAUGCUAUGCCACUUGUGUCAAUUGCAGGGACAGCUGACAAGAUUACGACACGGAGUUCUGUUUGUUUAUUCCCUGAAGAACUUUCAUCCUCUAUCCAUCUUUUAGUCUUUCAUUCAGAUAGUUGGUGUUUGCAAAGUUUAUGGGGGCCUCAACUGUCAAUAUCAAGAACCCAGGAACUCUUUGGGCCUCCUUAUACUGAUGGAGGUUCCGGUAAAUAUCUGUUCCCUUAA